UUCAAGUUUCAGGUGUCCUAAAUUAUCUUGUAUUUUUAGAUUGCUCGGAGUCUUGAAAGUCCUAUGGUCUGUGCUCUUGUGUGGCCGAUGACAAAAGAGCGAAGUGUCUGUGUUAAUCCUCUUAUCUUGGCCUUGCCCACAGCAUAAACAGAAGUGGCGUGAUGACAAAAGCCAUAAACAUGGCCGGGAAGGCGAAAGUAACUGUAGCAAAGGUACUGUGUUUUAAAAAACGUCAACUAAACGUCAACUAUACUCUACAGAGUUCACUUGGAGAUCGAAUUAAGUCAUGUUGAUCACGCAUAAAUUUUCCAAUGGGCUAAUAAUCCCCAUUAUAGACUAAUUAAUUAGGCAAGGAAAUGCAAAUAAAUCACCAUAGCUAGAAAGAGCGUACUAAAAUUAAUAAAAUUGCAAAGUUUGGUUGCGAAAUGUUGUAAAAUGCGGAAAAUUACUACCAUUACUAGCAAUUUCCAAUUUCCGCACGCAAUACUAAAGUAUCCAAAAUUUGCGAACUUAAUUUGUGCAAGGCUAUAUUUUCCGCAUUUUACAACAUUUCGCAACCAAACUUUGCAAUUUUACUCAUUUUAGUAUGUUCUUUCCGAAAAUAUACUUUUUUUGCCAAGAUAAAAAAUUAGUCUAUAAUGGGAAUUGUCAAUUACGCAUUCAGGUUAUCCUGAACCUUUGGCUUUGCUGACCUUUGCUUAUAUCUCAUCAAUUUUUAUCCAAAUUUAUCCAAAAUUUAUUCAAUUUGUCCUUGGGCAAUGUCCAUUAGUUCUACAACUUCUUGUAUUAAGGGGCGGACCAUUAGAAAUCCCGGGAGAGGGGGGUAAAAAUUCCCCCAAAAAAAUUCGUGCAAAGAAAAAUGCCUAGAAAAAAAUUCGCGCAGCCAUUACGUCAGAGAAAAAAAAAUCGUAGCAAAGUGCAAAUAGUCUUGAAAAAAAAUUCUUGCAGAGGUUAAAUGCAUAAAAAAAUCCUGCAGAGACAUAAGACUGAAAAAAACAUCGUGCCGCAAAAAUGUUAUACCCCCCCCCCUCCCAGGAUUUCUAAUGGUCCCCCCUAAUACGUUUGAUAUUUUUAUCACGCUGACAGACAGGCAAACUCACACACUGCGCGGAUCACGCGCACGUCGAGGAAACACAAUGCCAUAUAGUAAAUUAUAUUUUUAGUCGUACCUGACUGGUACUCCAAUAAUUAUUAUUGCCAUGUAUACUUGAGCUGAUAUAAACGUAUGACUCAAGGGGUACUUUAAGGGACGGACCAUUAGAAAAGUGAUGUGGGGGGGGGGACUUUUUCAACUUGUACGAAUAUUUUUUUUUAAUUUUUUGCUUGUGUCGAUAAUUUUUUAAAAUAUAAUCCCUUGCACGAAUUGUUUUUUGUUUCAACUUAUAAUUUUUUCUAUUGAAAAGUCUCUGCACGAAUUUUUGUUUUCAAACUUUUUUGGUUUACGAAUGUUUUUUUCUUUCUGUUUCCCCGGCUCGAUUUUUAUUUUUGUUUCCCCCCCCCCCCCCAUCACUUUUCUAAUGGUCCUUGCCCACAGCAUAAACAGAAGUGGCGUGAUGAAAGCAAUAAACAUGCCCGGGAAGGCUUUCACGCAACAACUGAACAGCCAGGAGAAAGUAAGGCUGUAGCAAAGGGGUGGUUUCGAAAACGAAGACCUACGAAAACGAAGACCGAAGACCUAAGAUGGGUCUUCGUUACUACGAAAACGAAGACCCAUCUU
Non-coding RNA from Paramuricea clavata, 1717 nucleotides. Lineage: Eukaryota; Metazoa; Cnidaria; Anthozoa; Malacalcyonacea; Plexauridae. The record is from the annotation of a GenBank genome assembly.